Molecule: ribosomal RNA, 795 nt
Filed under: Vibrio japonicus
Lineage: Bacteria; Pseudomonadati; Pseudomonadota; Gammaproteobacteria; Vibrionales; Vibrionaceae
Description: bacterial SSU rRNA
Rfam family: Bacterial small subunit ribosomal RNA
Source: RNAcentral
AGCUAGUUGGUGAGGUAAGGGCUCACCAAGGCGACGAUCCCUAGCUGGUCUGAGAGGAUGAUCAGCCACACUGGAACUGAGACACGGUCCAGACUCCUACGGGAGGCAGCAGUGGGGAAUAUUGCACAAUGGGCGCAAGCCUGAUGCAGCCAUGCCGCGUGUGUGAAGAAGGCCUUCGGGUUGUAAAGCACUUUCAGUCGUGAGGAAGGCGGGGUCGUUAAUAGCGGCAUCGUUUGACGUUAGCGACAGAAGAAGCACCGGCUAACUCCGUGCCAGCAGCCGCGGUAAUACGGAGGGUGCGAGCGUUAAUCGGAAUUACUGGGCGUAAAGCGCAUGCAGGUGGUUUGUUAAGUCAGAUGUGAAAGCCCGGGGCUCAACCUCGGAAUAGCAUUUGAAACUGGCAGACUAGAGUACUGUAGAGGGGGGUAGAAUUUCAGGUGUAGCGGUGAAAUGCGUAGAGAUCUGAAGGAAUACCGGUGGCGAAGGCGGCCCCCUGGACAGAUACUGACACUCAGAUGCGAAAGCGUGGGGAGCAAACAGGAUUAGAUACCCUGGUAGUCCACGCCGUAAACGAUGUCUACUUGGAGGUUGUGGCCUUGAGCCGUGGCUUUCGGAGCUAACGCGUUAAGUAGACCGCCUGGGGAGUACGGUCGCAAGAUUAAAACUCAAAUGAAUUGACGGGGGCCCGCACAAGCGGUGGAGCAUGUGGUUUAAUUCGAUGCAACGCGAAGAACCUUACCUACUCUUGACAUCCAGAGAACUUUCCAGAGAUGGAUUGGUGCCUUCGGGAACUCU